CACACAGUUGUUCUCUGCCCUUCUCCCAUUCCCCUCUGUUGUCUCACUCUCUCCGUGAGCAUCAAUACGGCCCAUUGAUUCAAUAAGGCUUUGCCGUGCCAGAGUCAGAGGAGCUGUGUUGGAAUAUCGGUUGCCCGGGACAACAGUCCACCCCCACAUCCUACAUGGUAGCCCAUGUCACCAUUGUUCCGAUAUUUCACUGUAAACCGAGUGAGGUCAUGUAUGUAACUCUGUCGCUAUACUGCUUGGGUGGACAGGAAUACUGUAUAAACGUGUAUGUGUGUGUGUGUGUGUGUGUGUGUGCAUGUGAGUGAUGCGUGGGAGAAAGGAGGCGAUGAGUCAUGGCACACAUACCACUAGGACACAAGAGCUCCCCCUGUUGCCGGGCGCAGGGGGAAGCCCAGCGGUGUGGGUGUAUUGUCUGGAAGAACAAAGCUGACGGUGACAUCACAGGACGCGUUUCUCCUCCACCAGUCAAAGAUCGCAGUGAACUGACAAAGGUUAACUGCGAUUGCGCCUGAGCAGCCCGGACGAGGGUGGGCCUUUGUGUGGCGAGAUGGAAUGCGGUGCGCUUGGCAUUUUUCAGCAAAAGGGCAUCUGUAUCGAAGCCGCCGCCAAGAGGUCCGCCGGGUGAGAUCACGACUGCCGAAUACUCAAGGGCGAAAGAAUUUCGACACCGGAGCGACGUGUCAACGUGGAGUUUUGCAGACAGACAAGAAAGUGACUGACAAAGCCGAUGGCAGUUGGAGCAGCGAGGUCGACAUUGAUCAUCCCAUAAUGGCAUUUGGAGGUGAGUUGAACAGCUGAGG
Hippocampus zosterae (dwarf seahorse) is the source of this 809-nucleotide long non-coding RNA. RefSeq lists it as uncharacterized. NCBI's taxonomy places the organism in Eukaryota, Metazoa, Chordata, Actinopteri, Syngnathiformes, Syngnathidae. The record is from RefSeq and is a predicted model, not a curated record. The transcript is spliced from 3 exons.